AAGCCUGAACGAGCAAUGCCGCGUGAACGAGGAAGGUCUUCGGAUCGUAAAGUUCUGUUGAGAGGGAAAAAGGGGUCACCAGAGGAAAUGCUGGUGUAAGUGAUAUUACCUUUCGAGGAAGUCACGGCUAACUACGUGCC
RNAcentral lists this ribosomal RNA (140 nucleotides) under uncultured bacterium. RNAcentral's name for it is "partial 16S ribosomal RNA". It matches the Rfam family "Bacterial small subunit ribosomal RNA", at positions 379 to 509 of the family's 1533-position model. The record is from RNAcentral.